This 1387-nucleotide long non-coding RNA is filed under the name Anser brachyrhynchus (Pink-footed goose). RNAcentral's name for it is "lncRNA (ENSABRG00000010476.1)". Lineage: Eukaryota; Metazoa; Chordata; Aves; Anseriformes; Anatidae. The record is from RNAcentral.
AAAAAACAACAACAAUAAAAAUCCUCAGAUUUUCUCUCUUCUUUUGUGCCAGAUUACAUUUUUGUCACAGACUUGGCAGAUGGCUCUUUCACCUACACUGAAUUCCACCAAACUUCAGCUCAUAGACACUUGAGAAGAUGUGGACAAUAGUCAAUCAACAAGACUUGAAAGAGGCUGGCAAGCAUGCAUGUAGCACUGCCCCCAUGCAGCAGCUUGGUUAAAAAGAUGAGUGCAUUACCCUGAAGGAUGUCAAUUACCCUGAAGGAUGUCACACCAAAGCAAAGGCUUAAUAAUUCAGCCCCGAGACCAGCACGUGUUGUUUAGCAGUGGAGCCAGCUGUCAUGCUUUCUCAAGUUGUGACCUCAUCGGAUUUACGAAGGAUCUGAAGCAGAACCUGUGUCCUGCCACUCUUGGUGUGAAGAACGCUACAGUCCAUUAUUCUGGGCAGGUAAGUUUUUUCCUUAUUUUCAUAAUGUGAUGCCUCAUGCACUAUACAACCAAUGAAGGCUGUGUUAUAUAGGAGACAGUGAGAGGCAGAAAAGUUGAAUUUUAACACUUUCAGCUGUGUCACAUAUCUAGUUUCUGCACAAAUUCAGAAAUCCGUAUAUGACCCACAAGCAGCUUACACAAGAAACCAUCAUCUUGCUAAUAAUACUCAGAUGUAGUUGUGAAUAGCAAAUAUACAUGAAGGGAGCUUGCACUGGCAUAAAGGAAGAGUGACUGACAGGAUAAUAGCACUGAGGGGCGUAUUUUGGGAAUUUCUCACUAGGUACAUGGGACUGUGAGGUUGGUCCCCUCCAGAGCAGGCUGCAAGGUGCUGCAUUUCUCCCGCACACCUCAGUUGUUCUAGUUGUGUGUUCAGAGGAUAGAUAAGCUGCUAAUGUGCAAUAUGAAUUGCAUUUUUAAGAGUUUGUAAAAUGUUUCCAGCUGAGGUUACCCCUCAGACUCAUUUGACCUUAGGGGGAAAAAAAAAAAAAAAAAGACACUCGUUGGGUGAUUUUCUAUAUCAUAGUAGGAAAUGUUUUAAAUAAGUUAAAUGAACAUGUAUUGGGUUUACAUGGCAAAGGUUUGGUAGCAAGGGGCUGCAGGGGUGGCCUCUGUGAGCAGAGCCCAGCAGCGGCCCCAUGUCAGAGCAGAGCCAGCUCCAGCCAGCUCCAAAAGGGACCUGCUGCUGGCCAGAGCCCAGCCAGGGAGCGAUGCUGGGUGGGCCUCUGGGAGAGCAGAGUUAAGGAAGGGAAACAACGCCAUGCAACAGCAGCUGGGAGAGAGGGGUGAGAACAUGUGAGGGAACCAGCCCCCUGCUGCCCCCGAGGUCAUUGCAGCAGGAGGUGCUCCAGGUGCCAGAGCCAAUGUUUCCCUGUAGACUGUGGAGAGGCCCCUGGUGGAG